RNAcentral lists this long non-coding RNA (1102 nucleotides) under Manacus vitellinus (golden-collared manakin). Its description in RNAcentral is "lncRNA (ENSMVIG00005003101.1)". The record is from RNAcentral. Lineage: Eukaryota; Metazoa; Chordata; Aves; Passeriformes; Pipridae.
GGUGGGACCUGUGGUGGCUUCAACCCCAAGAGAUGUCACCCAGCUCUGGUGGGACCAUGGAGGCUUCAACCCCAAGGGUUAUUUGUCACCCAACUCUGGUAGGACUGCGGUGGCUUCAGCCCCAAGUGGUGUCACCCAACGCUGGUGGGACCACGGUGGCUUCAACCCCAAGGGUUGUCACUCAACAUUAGUGGGUCUGUGGUGGCUUCAACCCCAAGAGAUGUCACCCAACUCUGGUGGGACCAUGGAGGCUUCAACCCCAAGGGUUAUUUGUCACCCAACACUGGUGGGACCUGUGGUGGCCUCAACCCCAAGUGGUGUCACCUCAAUGCUGGUUGGACCACGGGUUGGUCGUCACCCAGUGGUGGUGGGACUGUGGUGGCUUCAGUCUCAAGGGGUGUCCCUCAACACUGGUGGGACCAUGGAGGCUUCAACCCCUGAUGGGAUCGUGGUGGCCUCAACCCCAAGGGAUGUCACCCAAUGCUCGUGGGACUUUGGUGGCUUCAACCCCAAGGGUUGUCACUCAACAUUGGUGGGACUGUGGUGGCCUCAACCCCUGGUGGGACCUGUGGUGGCCUCAACCCCUGGUGGGACCUGUGGUGGCCUCAAACCCUGGUGGGACUGUGGUGGCCUCAACCCCAAGUGGUGUCACCCCAAUGCUGGUUGGACCACGGUGGCUUCAACCCCAAGGGUUGGUCGUCACCCAGUGGUGGUGGGACUGUGGUGGCUUCAAUCCCAAGGGUUAUUUGUCACCCAACUCUGGUGGGACUGUGGUGGCUUCAACCCCAAGGGUUGUCACUCAACCCUCAUGGGACCUGUGGGGGCUUCAACAACCCCGAGGGUUGGUUGUCACCCACCCCAAGGGCUCAUCAUCACCCAACACUGGUGGGACCGUGGUGGCCUCAACCCCAAGGGGUGUCACCCAAUGCUGGUGGGACUGGUUUUGAGAAUCUCCACCAUCCUGGGGCCCUCCAGCCAUUUUUUUUGGGAAUUUCCACCAUCUCCAGCCAUUUUUUUGGGGAAUCUCCACCAUCUCCAGCCAUUUUUUUUGGGAAUCUCCACCAUCCUGGGGGUCUUCCAGCCCUUUUUUUUUUUUUUUUUG